RNAcentral lists this ribosomal RNA (253 nucleotides) under uncultured bacterium. RNAcentral's name for it is "partial 16S ribosomal RNA". It matches the Rfam family "Bacterial small subunit ribosomal RNA", at positions 524 to 776 of the family's 1533-position model. The record is from RNAcentral.
UACGUAGGGGGCAAGCGUUGUCCGGAUUUAUUGGGCGUAAAGAGCGUGUAGGCGGCCAGGUAGGUCUGCUGUGAAAACUCGAGGCUUAACCUCGAGAUGUCGGCGGAAACCAUCUGGCUAGAGUCCGGAAGAGGAGAAUGGAAUUCCCGGUGUAGCGGUGAAAUGCGCAGAUAUCGGGAAGAACACCCGUGGCGAAGGCGGUUCUCUGGGACGGUACUGACGCUGAGACGCGAAAGCAUGGGGAGCGAACAGG